AAAUAUAAGUUAGAAUCUGUUAAAUGAUAAAUAUUGUAAAAUUAAAAUUAGAACAAUAGAUUCUGAGAUUUGUAAUAAACAACAGUAUUAUUUUUAACAAAAUAUGUGAUUUUUACACAGUAGCAAAUUCACAAGAAAUGAAUAUACAAUAUUUGGGUAUUAAGCUUUCCAUAUUGUAUAUAUUUAUAACAUAUUUAUCAUGCAUAUGUAUCUGGAGUCUAAUGAAAAUUAUUGGAAACUUUUGAUUACAUAUCAGAUAACUUAUUUAUUACAUAUCAGCAAAAUUAAAAAUUAAAACUAUAAUAAAUUCUAGAAAAUGAGGCACAGAUUAUCACAUUAUUCAUUACAAUAAAAUUUAAUACCCUUUCAUCAAAUGUUGAUUUAUUUAGGUGCAUCUAUAUCGAUGGAGAUAUGUUUUAAUUGUGCUUGAAGGUACAUUUAAAGCAUUGAUAAAUACACAUAUACAGAAGUAAAUAUAUGUAUAUUUAUAGUUCAAAACUAUUACUCGUUUCUUUAGAAGUCAAUAUUACUCUAGAAGUCCUAAUUUGUGCAAUAUUAAUAUUUUUCUAUAAAGCACAUAGUUCAACAAUUAUUUCAUGAAUGAAUCCUUUAGAAGAAUUAAGUAAAUCACCCUGCAUUUUUUUCGGACACCUUUGUACGUGAACAUACCAAUGUUUCUCUUGACAUCGUUCAUCACAGUAAAAAGCCAUCUCACAUCCAAGA
Molecule: long non-coding RNA, 723 nt
Organism: Megachile rotundata (alfalfa leafcutting bee)
Lineage: Eukaryota; Metazoa; Arthropoda; Insecta; Hymenoptera; Megachilidae
Source: RefSeq, a predicted model, not a curated record